UACAGAGGUCUCAAGCGUUGUUCGGAUUCAUUGGGCGUAAAGCGUGCGCAGGCGGUUCUGCAAGUCAGAUGUGAAAUCCCCGGGCUUAACCUGGGAACUGCGUUUGAAACUACGGAGCUAGAGUGCGGCAGAGGGGGGUGGAAUUCCACGUGUAGCAGUGAAAUGCGUAGAUAUGUGGAGGAACACCGAUGGCGAAGGCAGCCCCCUGGGCCGACACUGACGCUCAGGCACGAAAGCGUGGGGAGCAAACAGG
This 253-nucleotide ribosomal RNA is filed under the name uncultured bacterium. Its description in RNAcentral is "partial 16S ribosomal RNA". It matches the Rfam family "Bacterial small subunit ribosomal RNA", at positions 524 to 776 of the family's 1533-position model. The record is from RNAcentral.